CCAGCUCUCUUUGCCUUUUGGCUUAGAUCAAGUGUAGUAACUGUUCUUCUUAGUUUAAUCUCUAGGACGUGCCUACGGGUACAUCUAGUGAUUAAACCAGUUUUUGGAAGCAGGUCGGCGGCCGCUGAGCACCGCUUAUGUCACUGACCACGGUGUCGCUCAUAUUGCACUGUCUUGGGCUGACGCGAACAGCA
Molecule: small nuclear RNA, 194 nt
Organism: Neofusicoccum parvum
Lineage: Eukaryota; Fungi; Ascomycota; Dothideomycetes; Botryosphaeriales; Botryosphaeriaceae
Rfam family: U2 spliceosomal RNA
About the family: U2 is a small nuclear RNA (snRNA) component of the spliceosome (involved in pre-mRNA splicing). Complementary binding between U2 snRNA (in an area lying towards the 5' end but 3' to hairpin I) and the branchpoint sequence (BPS) of the intron results the bulging out of an unpaired adenosine, on the BPS, which initiates a nucleophilic attack at the intronic 5' splice site, thus starting the first of two transesterification reactions that mediate splicing.
Source: Rfam